GGGGCCAUAGCUCAAUUGGGAGAGCGCUGCCUUUGCAAGGCAGAGGUUACCGGUUCGAUCCCGGUUGGCUCCA
RNAcentral lists this transfer RNA (73 nucleotides) under Planctomycetota bacterium. Its description in RNAcentral is "tRNA-Ala". It matches the Rfam family "tRNA". From Rfam's summary of the family: Transfer RNA (tRNA) molecules are approximately 80 nucleotides in length. Their secondary structure includes four short double-helical elements and three loops (D, anti-codon, and T loops). The record is from RNAcentral. RNAcentral also lists the same sequence under 1 other name. Lineage: Bacteria; Pseudomonadati; Planctomycetota.